GACGAACGCUGGCGGCGUGCUUAAUACAUGCAAGUCGAACGGAGCCUAGCCGGUAGUUUACUACAGGCGAAAGCUUAGUGGCGGACGGGUGAGUAACGCGUGGGCAAUCUGCCCCUAAGUCCGGGAUAACAGAGCGAAAGUUCUGCUAAGACCGGAUACUCUUCCUUGGUCGCAUGGCCUGGGAAGGAAAGGAUACGCUUAGGGAUGAGCCCGCGUCCCAUUAGCUAGUUGGUGAGGUAACGGCCCACCAAGGCGACGAUGGGUAGCCGGCCUGAGAGGGUGGACGGCCACACUGGGACUGAGACACGGCCCAGACUCCUACGGGAGGCAGCAGUAGGGAAUUUUCCGCAAUGGGGGAAACCCUGACGGAGCAACGCCGCGUGAGGGAAGAAGGUCUUCGGAUCGUAAACCUUUGUCAUCGAGGACGAAAACUGACGGUACUCGAGGAGGAAGCCCCGGCUAACUACGUG
This 470-nucleotide ribosomal RNA is filed under the name uncultured bacterium. RNAcentral's name for it is "bacterial SSU rRNA". It matches the Rfam family "Bacterial small subunit ribosomal RNA", at positions 28 to 507 of the family's 1533-position model. The record is from RNAcentral.